Molecule: ribosomal RNA, 500 nt
Filed under: uncultured Lachnospiraceae bacterium
Lineage: Bacteria; Bacillati; Bacillota; Clostridia; Lachnospirales; Lachnospiraceae
Description: bacterial SSU rRNA
Rfam family: Bacterial small subunit ribosomal RNA
Source: RNAcentral
AGAGUUUGAUCCUGGCUCAGGAUGAACGCUGGCGGCGUGCCUAACACAUGCAAGUCGAACGGAGUGCCAAAGACAAACAUUUCGGUGGGCGGCUUUGGUAACUGAGUGGCGGACGGGUGAGUAACGCGUGGACAACCUGCCGUGUACAGGGGGAUAACAGCCGGAAACGGCUGCUAAUACCGCAUAUGCGCACAGUGCCGCAUGGCACAGGGCGGAAAACGAUAGUGGUACACGAUGGGUCCGCGUCUGAUUAGAUAGUUGGCGGGGUAACGGCCCACCAAGUCGACGAUCAGUAGCCGGCCUGAGAGGGCGGACGGCCACACUGGGACUGAGACACGGCCCAGACUCCUGCGGGAGGCAGCAGUGGGGAAUAUUGCACAAUGGGGGGAACCCUGAUGCAGCGACGCCGCGUGAAGGAAGAAGUAUUUCGGUAUGUAAACUUCUAUCAGCAGGGAAGAAAAAGGACGGUACCUGACUAAGAAGCCCCGGCUAACUACGUG